UCGAACCCGGAGAUAGCUGGUUCUCCUCGAAAUAGCUUUAGGGCUAGCCUCGAUAGAGUCUUGCGGAGGUAGAGCACUGAAUUUCCUAGGGGGCGUCAAAGCUUACCGAAGAAUAUCAAACUCCGAAUGCCGCGUAGAUGGUGUAUGGGAGUCAGACUGCACGAGAUAAGUUGGGUAGUCAAAAGGGAAAGAGCCCAGACCUACAGCUAAGGUCCCAAAGUGCGUGUUAAGUGGAAAAGGAUGUGGGAUUUCGAAGACAACUAGGAUGUUGGCUCAGAAGCAGCCAUACAUUCAAAGAGUGCGUAAUAGCUCACUAGUCGAGAGGUCCUGCGCCGAAAAUGUCCGGGGCUAAAACACGACACCGAAGCUGUGGAUCCGAAAGGAUGGUAGAGGAGCAUUCUUAAGUCGACGAAGCUGUACUGUAAGGAGCAGUGGAGAGUUAAGAAGAGAGAAUGCCGGAAUGAGUAGCGAGAUUUAAGUGAGAAUCUUAAAGGCCGAAUAUCUAAGGUUUCCAGGGUAAAGCUGAUCUUCCCUGGGUAAGUCGGGGCCUAAGGCGAGGGCGAGAGCCGUAGUCGAUGGAUAACAGGUUGAAAUUCCUGUACUGCUUAUGGACAGAACUGUGGGGACGCAGAAGGAGAGCACGAGCCGGAAAUGGAAAAGCCGGUACAAGCGUAUAGCAGUCAUGCAGGCAAAACCGCAUGAAAAAUGUAAAGCGUUAUGUGGAUCGAACAUUAGUAGAGAAGCGUGUGAGCCAGCUGCCAAGAAAAGCCGCUAUUGCUUCAUAAGUACCCGUACCGUAAACCGACACAGGUGGAUGAGGAGAGAAUCCUAAGGCCGACGGGAGAAGCAUUGUUAAGGAACUCGGCAAAAUGACUCCGUAACUUCGGGAGAAGGAGUGCCAUGAGAGUGGCCGCAGAGAAAUGGCCCAAGCAACUGUUUAGCAAAAACACAGGUCUAUGCAAAACCGAAAGGUGAGGUAUAUGGGCUGACGCCUGCCCGGUGCUGGAAGGUUAAGAGGAGAGGUUAGCGCAAGCGAAGCUUUGAAUUUAAGCCCCAGUAAACGGCGGCCGUAACUAUAACGGUCCUAAGGUAGCGAAAUUCCUUGUCGGGU
Molecule: ribosomal RNA, 1111 nt
Filed under: human gut metagenome
Description: bacterial LSU rRNA
Rfam family: Bacterial large subunit ribosomal RNA
Source: RNAcentral